RNAcentral lists this ribosomal RNA (904 nucleotides) under uncultured bacterium. RNAcentral's name for it is "bacterial SSU rRNA". It matches the Rfam family "Bacterial small subunit ribosomal RNA", at positions 8 to 916 of the family's 1533-position model. The record is from RNAcentral.
AGAGUUUGAUCAUGGCUCAGGAUGAACGCUAGCGGCAGGCUUAACACAUGCAAGUCGAGGGGUAGAAGGAGCUUGCUCCUUUGAGACCGGCGCACGGGUGCGUAACGCGUAUGCAAUCUACCUUGUACAGGGGGAUAGCCCAGAGAAAUUUGGAUUAAUACCCCAUAGUGUAACGAAAAGGCAUCUUUUUGUUACUAAAGUUCCAACGGUACAAGAUGAGCAUGCGUCCCAUUAGCUAGUUGGUGUGGUAACGGCAUACCAAGGCAACGAUGGGUAGGGGUCCUGAGAGGGAGAUCCCCCACACUGGUACUGAGACACGGACCAGACUCCUACGGGAGGCAGCAGUGAGGAAUAUUGGUCAAUGGGCGCAAGCCUGAACCAGCCAUGCCGCGUGCAGGAUGACGGUCCUAUGGAUUGUAAACUGCUUUUGUACAGGAAGAAACACUCCCUCGUGAGGGAGCUUGACGGUACUGUAAGAAUAAGGAUCGGCUAACUCCGUGCCAGCAGCCGCGGUAAUACGGAGGAUCCAAGCGUUAUCCGGAAUCAUUGGGUUUAAAGGGUCCGUAGGCGGUUUUAUAAGUCAGUGGUGAAAUCUGGUCGCUCAACGAUCAAACGGCCAUUGAUACUGUAGAACUUGAAUUACUUGGAAGUAACUAGAAUAUGUAGUGUAGCGGUGAAAUGCUUAGAGAUUACAUGGAAUACCAAUUGCGAAGGCAGGUUACUACGAGUAUAUUGACGCUGAUGGACGAAAGCGUGGGGAGCGAACAGGAUUAGAUACCCUGGUAGUCCACGCCGUAAACGAUGGAUACUAGCUGUUUGGAGCAAUCUGAGUGGCUAAGCGAAAGUGAUAAGUAUCCCACCUGGGGAGUACGCUCGCAAGAGUGAAACUCAAAGGAAUUGACGG